UGUGUACGAAGAAUAGGUGAAUAAAAACAAAACCAGAAUCUCAUGUAGACGCUAGAAGUGCAGUAUUUUAGCUCGAAAGCACACCAGAAUGAAUCACAAUAACGAGCCAACACUAUCUGAAGAAAGCGAAAGGCCACAUGUCGCACCGAAGCCACCGAUACCGCUGCCUAGGGAGCUUAUCUUGCUGAUUCGUACAAAACAUGAACUCGGGAGGAAACUUAGGAGGGAUGUCAAUAAUAAGGAAUUGUACCUGCAAUUUAAGGCACUGGACAGAAAUAUCCGGAAUCUGGUGAAAUUUU
Molecule: long non-coding RNA, 299 nt
Organism: Aedes aegypti (yellow fever mosquito)
Lineage: Eukaryota; Metazoa; Arthropoda; Insecta; Diptera; Culicidae
Exons: 2
Source: RefSeq, a predicted model, not a curated record